GACGAACGCUGGCGGCGUGCCUAAUACAUGCAAGUCGAACGAGAGCGACCGGUGCUUGCACUGGUCAAUCUAGUGGCGAACGGGUGAGUAACACGUGGGUAACCUGCCCAUCAGAGGGGGAUAACAUUCGGAAACGGAUGCUAAAACCGCAUAGGUCUUCGAACCGCAUGGUUUGAAGAGGAAAAGAGGCGCAAGCUUCUGCUGAUGGAUGGACCCGCGGUGCAUUAGCUAGUUGGUGAGGUAACGGCUCACCAAGGCCGUGAUGCAUAGCCGACCUGAGAGGGUGAUCGGCCACAUUGGGACUGAGACACGGCCCAAACUCCUACGGGAGGCAGCAGUAGGGAAUCUUCCGCAAUGGACGCAAGUCUGUCGGAGCAACGCCGCGUGAGUGAAGAAGGUUUUCGGAUCGUAAAACUCUGUUGUUAGAGAAGAACAAGUGCUAGAGUAACUGUUAGCGCCUUGACGGUAUCUAACCAGAAAGCCACGGCUAACUACGUG
RNAcentral lists this ribosomal RNA (498 nucleotides) under uncultured bacterium. RNAcentral describes it as "partial 16S ribosomal RNA". It matches the Rfam family "Bacterial small subunit ribosomal RNA", at positions 28 to 507 of the family's 1533-position model. The record is from RNAcentral.